RNAcentral lists this ribosomal RNA (401 nucleotides) under uncultured bacterium. RNAcentral's name for it is "bacterial SSU rRNA". It matches the Rfam family "Bacterial small subunit ribosomal RNA", at positions 356 to 774 of the family's 1533-position model. The record is from RNAcentral.
GGGGAAUAUUGGACAAUGGGCGAAAGCCUGAUCCAGCAAUGCCGCGUGAGUGAUGAAGGCCUUAGGGUUGUAAAGCUCUUUUACCCGGGAAGAUAAUGGCUGUACCGGGAGAAUAAGCCCCGGCUAACUCCGUGCCAGCAGCAGCGGUAAUACGGAGGGGGCUAGCGUUGUUCGGAAUUACUGGGCGUAAAGCGCACGUAGGCGGCUUUGUAAGUUAGAGGUGAAAGCCCGGGGCUCAACCCCGGAACUGCCUUUAAGACUGCAUCGCUUGAACGUCGGAGAGGUGAGUGGAAUUCCGAGUGUAGAGGUGAAAUUCGUAGAUAUUCGGAAGAACACCAGUGGCGAAGGCGGCUCACUGGACGACUGUUGACGCUGAGGUGCGAAAGCGUGGGGAGCAAACA